Molecule: ribosomal RNA, 496 nt
Filed under: uncultured bacterium
Lineage: Bacteria
Description: partial 16S ribosomal RNA
Rfam family: Bacterial small subunit ribosomal RNA
Source: RNAcentral
GAUGAACGCUGGCGGCGUGCCUAAUACAUGCAAGUCGAGCGAACAGACGAGGAGCUUGCUCCUCUGACGUUAGCGGCGGACGGGUGAGUAACACGUGGAUAACCUACCUAUAAGACUGGGAUAACUUCGGGAAACCGGAGCUAAUACCGGAUAAUAUAUUGAACCGCAUGGUUCAAUAGUGAAAGACGGUUUUGCUGUCACUUAUAGAUGGAUCCGCGCCGCAUUAGCUAGUUGGUAAGGUAACGGCUUACCAAGGCAACGAUGCGUAGCCGACCUGAGAGGUGGAGGGCCCCCACUGGAAAUGAGACCCGGUCCAGACCCCCACGGGAGGCCGCAGUAGAGAACUUUCCACAAAGGGCGAAACCUUGACGGAACAACGCCGCGUGGGUGAGGGAGGUUCUGGAUUUUUAAAACCUUGUUUUUAAGGAAGAACAAUUGUGAAAAUAAUUUAGGCCGGUGCGGCGGUACCAAUUCAAAAACCCGCGGCAAACUACCG